Molecule: non-coding RNA, 294 nt
Organism: Caenorhabditis elegans
Lineage: Eukaryota; Metazoa; Nematoda; Chromadorea; Rhabditida; Rhabditidae
Source: Ensembl
UUUCGGAGUGUCGUUUACUAAACUUAAAGGCGCACGCACUUUCGCUUUUGGCGUCUCGCAACGAAAGUGGCACACAACAAACGAGUGGGACAGUAUGGCUUUUCAGGCAACCUGUGAAUUUUAAUGCUGGCCUACGGUUUUUUCACGUUUUUUCCCGAGAAUUUCGGAAUUUUUUUGAUAAAUUGGACUGAAGAAAAAUCUGCAAUUAAUUCUGUGCUCGUUCCUGGAAAAUCUAUCUUCAAAAUUCGAUGAAAUAAUAAUUUUUUGGUGAAACCGAAUUUUUGUUGGUGAAAC